This 325-nucleotide RNase P RNA is filed under the name Promethearchaeota archaeon. RNAcentral's name for it is "Candidatus Lokiarchaeota archaeon (microbial mat metagenome) RNase P RNA component". It matches the Rfam family "Archaeal RNase P". From Rfam's summary of the family: Ribonuclease P (RNase P) is a ubiquitous endoribonuclease, found in archaea, bacteria and eukarya as well as chloroplasts and mitochondria. Its best characterised activity is the generation of mature 5'-ends of tRNAs by cleaving the 5'-leader elements of precursor-tRNAs. Cellular RNase Ps are ribonucleoproteins. Lineage: Archaea; Promethearchaeati; Promethearchaeota. The record is from RNAcentral.
AAAUGAAAUUGGUGGGCUAACGGUGGAUUUUUAUAUCUACUGAGGAACCUCGCCUCAUACUCCAAGCAAGAGCGGAUAACCGUUACGGUGAAAACCGUAUUUUAACAACAGAAACGGCACUACCUUCGUGCGUAUAUCAAGGAUUUGGAUAUAAGCCAAAGAGAUUGUGCGAAGGGAUGGUUGGAACGAGUUAAAAUCUUGAUGCAAGGCCAAAUGAAAGCGAUGAGGGACUUGGAGCGAGCUUUAGGUAGGCCGCUUAGUUUGAUGCUCACAUCUAUGGUCUGGUGACAGAUAUAGAACAAAAGGGCGGGUAUAGAUUUCAGUU